This 253-nucleotide ribosomal RNA is filed under the name uncultured bacterium. RNAcentral describes it as "partial 16S ribosomal RNA". It matches the Rfam family "Bacterial small subunit ribosomal RNA", at positions 524 to 776 of the family's 1533-position model. The record is from RNAcentral.
UACGUAGGGUGCAAGCGUUGUCCGGAAUUAUUGGGCGUAAAGAGCUCGUAGGCGGUUUGUCGCGUCUGCUGUGAAAACUCGGGGCUUAACCCCGGGCCUGCAGUGGGUACGGGCAGACUAGAGUGCGGUAGGGGAGACUGGAAUUCCUGGUGUAGCGGUGAAAUGCGCAGAUAUCAGGAGGAACACCGGUGGCGAGGGCGGUUCUCUGGGCCUUACCUGACGCUGAGGAGCGAAAGCGUGGGGAGCAAACAGG